Molecule: ribosomal RNA, 465 nt
Filed under: Vreelandella stevensii
Lineage: Bacteria; Pseudomonadati; Pseudomonadota; Gammaproteobacteria; Oceanospirillales; Halomonadaceae
Description: partial 16S ribosomal RNA
Rfam family: Bacterial small subunit ribosomal RNA
Source: RNAcentral
CCUACGGGUGGCAGCAGUGGGGAAUAUUGGACAAUGGGCGAAAGCCUGAUCCAGCCAUGCCGCGUGUGUGAAGAAGGCCUUCGGGUUGUAAAGCACUUUCAGUGGGGAAGAAAGCCUUGGGGCUAAUACCCUCGAGGAAGGACAUCACCCACAGAAGAAGCACCUGCUAACUCCGUGCCAGCAGCCGCGGUAAUACGGAGGGUGCGAGCGUUAAUCGGAAUUACUGGGCGUAAAGCGCGCGUAGGCGGUCUGAUAAGCCGGUUGUGAAAGCCCCGGGCUCAACCUGGGAACGGCAUCCGGAACUGUCAGGCUAGAGUGCAGGAGAGGAAGGUAGAAUUCCCGGUGUAGCGGUGAAAUGCGUAGAGAUCGGGAGGAAUACCAGUGGCGAAGGCGGCCUUCUGGACUGACACUGACGCUGAGGUGCGAAAGCGUGGGUAGCAAACAGGAUUUGAUACCCGAGUAGUC